CAGACCGUUGAGUUGCCCUGUUGACGUGAAGCAGACUGAUGCCUCACUGUAAUUGUAAGUGGUGAAGGUUUAAGAACAACUUUCAUCACAGUCAGGAGGAGAGUAAACUUCAGGAUGCAGAUCUACCCUGUAAUUGCCAUUUUUCUAAUAGGUAGACUUUAGAACUCUAAUGGCGCUUUCCAAGUUAUUUUAGCUGUUUACAUUUCAAGCUUAAACAUCUAACCUUCAGAAAUGGUUAUGUUUUAUCAUUGCAGUAGUAGCUUUUCAUGGUCUGUGCAGUUCUGUUCAAGUAUCUAGUUAAUGUGAUGGUACAGCUAAAGAAAACAGCUUCAGUAGUGGUGAGCCCAGAGCUAUUGCUGCUCUGACGACAGCAGUGCUUGUGUUUUACAGUAUGCCCUGGAGCGCUUAAAGGUCAUGUGUGAGGAUGCCCUCUGCAGUAACCUGUCCGUGGAGAAUGCUGCAGAAAUUCUCAUCCUGGCUGACCUCCACAGCGCAGAUCAGUUGAAAACUCAGGCAGUGGAUUUCAUCAACUAGUGAGUUGGCAUCUUCAAAGUUCUUUCAAAAUAGUUGGAUAGCUGAAGAAAUGAGAAAGACUUUGAAUUAGUGGGUAAAGCAGGCAAGUAGCUUCAUUAACCUUUUGGCAGUAAGUAUAGAGUUUUCAUCUUUUCCUUCAAUUGACUGUAUGGAAUUGACUUCAUGGGUUGAAUCCUAUUGUCAUGCUUCAGAUGUCUUGGAGACCUCCGGGUGGAAGUCAAUGGUGGUGUCACAUCCCCACUUGGUGGCUGAGGCAUACCGCUCUCUGGCUUCAGCACAGUGCCCUUUUCUGGGACCCCCACGCAAACGCCUGAAGCAAUCCUAAGAUCCUGCUUGUUGUAAGACUCUGUUUAAUUUCCAGAAGCAGCAGCCACUGUUGCUGCCACUGACCACC
Molecule: small RNA, 928 nt
Filed under: Pongo abelii (Sumatran orangutan)
Lineage: Eukaryota; Metazoa; Chordata; Mammalia; Primates; Hominidae
Description: retained intron
Source: RNAcentral